UUUAUGGGUUUAGUUCUACCAAACUCGUAAAGAAAUCAACAUCAUCAAAAAAGCACUCGACGGUGGUAUCCACACGACGUUACCCGUUACCGUUUGUUACCCCGUUACGUUCGUUACGACUUUUUGCUGCCGUGUGCUUUCGUGCGUGUGCGUGUGUGUCCGUCGGUGCGUGCGUGUGUGUGCGUGAGAAAGAGAGGGGGACCGGGACCGCCGCCCUCUACUACACAGUAUCCCAAAAAAAAGCAAAAAAAUACGUAUCAAACGCUUUUUGGGGGCUCUGAACAGAAGAACUACCGACUAUUCGGUCGCCUACGGUCGUCGCGGUUGUUACACCACACGCCACGCCUCCACAAAAACGCUCCCAUUGUCAAAAGGUUUUUCAAUUGACAGAUCGUAAAGAACAGAUCAUAAAAGCGAUAAAAACUAUCGAAAAUUAUCAUAAAAGCGAUAAAAAAUCAUCAUAAUCGUAAAAAAUAUUGUCGCCUCCUGUCGUCAGUCGCUCUGAGGCCCUUGACCGGCAACGACAUUACAAAACCGCGAAAAGAAAAACAAAGAAAAACAGAGAAGAGCGAGAGGACAAGCCCCAUAAGAAAAUUUCGCGCGCGCAAUUUUUCGAAGGUGGUGUCGAGCAGGUGUCUCCGGGUAUGCCUCAAUCCUCAAUUUGUGCAAUAUCUAUACCAGAAAAACCAUAAAAGAUAUAUCCGUAUAGGGAUUAUAUAAAUAACCGAUUCGUUGUGCAAAAUCCAAAGCCAAAAAAAUAGAUCCCUAAAAUCUAAGUGUUUUUUUACUAUAUUAAAUAUUAUAGUCUAUCGUAUAAUCCUCCAUUUGUUGUGCAGCAGCCUGAAAACUUGAAAACAAUCAACAUUAUCUAGUCCUUGAGCAAUAUUUACACACUUAAAACAUAUAAUACAAAAUUAAAUUAAAUUCCCAGCCUUAAAAAAAGACAGCCAAAAAAAAUAUUACAAAAGAAGAGCAAAAGUUUCAGCCGCAUCAAAAGUUUUUUGGUACGUGCAAAAAAGUUGGGGGCAGGCAACAUUGAGACCCCAGGAUUCCAAGGAUAAGAGUCAGUCACACACAUUAUUGGAUUUAAAAGUGCAAUUUGGAUUACUACGCUUCGGAUUUGGAUUAACUUCGCUCUGGAAAUUGUGGAUUAACCUCUCGAUUAGUGGAUUAACCUCUGGAUUAGUGGAUUACACUCUCUCGCGUCGUUGAAUGGAUAAACAAAGUGCAUUUCCUACAUGGAUUACAAGCGAAUAGCAGAAGCAGCAGAGCAGCGCAUCAUAAAAGGUAAACACGCAAACAGACAUUUUCCACAGCCACAGAGCCACACAGCCACAGAGGAGGAGGCGACAUACAGGCCAGAGGAGCAGAACGAGACACCUGUGUGAUGGCAUCUCCUCGCUCUGUCUCUGUGCAUGCCACAAGAAG
This is an RNA transcript of Drosophila obscura, 1428 nucleotides long. RefSeq lists it as uncharacterized. The record is from RefSeq and is a predicted model, not a curated record. Lineage: Eukaryota; Metazoa; Arthropoda; Insecta; Diptera; Drosophilidae. The transcript is spliced from 3 exons.